UAUAAGUGUAACCAUAAGUUUCCAUAUCUAAUUUUGAAUAUCCGUCUUAUUUAAAUUUUUUUUAUAAUUAGUAUUUUUAUUGUUAAAACAUGACUAGUACAUUGCGCGUCACUUAUGUUUUUAAAUUUUUUUUCAAAAUUUUUUCAAAUAAGACGGACAAUUAAAGCUGGGCACGGAAAAUCAUGGGCACUUAAA
Molecule: non-coding RNA, 195 nt
Organism: Oryza glumipatula
Lineage: Eukaryota; Viridiplantae; Streptophyta; Magnoliopsida; Poales; Poaceae
Source: Rfam